Oncorhynchus kisutch (coho salmon) is the source of this 4714-nucleotide long non-coding RNA. RefSeq lists it as uncharacterized. NCBI's taxonomy places the organism in Eukaryota, Metazoa, Chordata, Actinopteri, Salmoniformes, Salmonidae. The record is from RefSeq and is a predicted model, not a curated record. The transcript is spliced from 8 exons.
CAUAAAUCCGCUCAUGGGGGUUUAAACUGCAUUCUAAUGUUGACCGCUUAAAGACAACGGUAUCAAGCGAAGUUCUUUGUGCAUGCUCAUUUCUCGCGUCUAGGGCUUUCGAGUGGACAUUUUAAAUGGAAAUUAUGGAACUCCCUCGCGUGGUUAUUUUUUUUUCUUAUUUUUAAGUCCUCAAUGACACUGGCAUUAGGCUAAAUGUGGAGCAUUUUACAUUUGCCUCUGUUGGCGAUUAAGUAGCCUAUUAAUGUAUAUGUAGGCUACCAUUUGAUACAAUAAAUAUGUUGAAAUGAUAUCACUGGAGUCAUAGCAAAUCAAUUUGUGCCACUUGCGUAACCUACCGGGAGUUGGCAAACGAAUUUAAUAAAUAGCCUAUAACUUCAGUUUAUUGUUGUUGUAGCCUUAUUGCUUAACCAAGUUAAAUCGACAUCAACUGAAUGCUCUGGCGAGUUUAAUAAGGGCGGCAUGUAAUAGCUUGCAAUAAUUAUUAUUUUGAGGAAACUCGAAUUUAGCUUCUAACUUCGUUACUAUGAUAUUCCUUCUUAAUUGGCUCGAUAACGUUAUGGAAAAAGGCUUUAUUGGAUAUAUAUGGCAACUCUUCUCUUGCUGUGACAAAAACAAAUUGGGCUAGUUUUCAGGCCUUUUGGGUGGGUUUUGAAUGGUCAUUGGGCACAUUUUUUUGUUAUCUUGACCUGGCAACCCUGCUCUGCAUUGUUACAAAAUUUGGGAGGCACAUGGCGAUGUGAUACAGAGCUAGAUUUGUCCUCUACACGUUUCUGGAGGAAUCCCGCCCUUCAUAUGGAGCCUCCGACCACAUUAUAGUCUACGCCUCCGCAAUGGAUUAGUUUACUGAGAUGGGCGCAAAUAUACAGCACCAGUCAAAAGUUUGGACACACCUACUCAUAUUUAAGGUCGAGAGCCAUGCGUCCCCGAAACACAACCCAACCAAGCCGCACUGCUACUUGACACAAGGUCUACUUAACCCGGAAGACAGCCGUUCCAAUGUGUCGUAGGAAACACUGCACCUGGCGACCGUGUCAGCAUGCACUGCGCCCGGCCCGCCACAUGAGUCGCUAGUGCGCGAUGGGACAAGGACAUCCCUGCCUGCCAAACCCCUAACCCGGACGACGCUGGGCCAGUUGUGUUCCGCCCCAUGGGUCUUCCGUUCGCGGCCAGCUGCGACAGAGCCUGGACUCGAAUCCAGAAUCUCUAGUGGCAAUGCAAAUAAAACAAUCUCGGUCGACCAACAGCAAACAAAUCGAAUAAUUGGGGUCUGCCCUAACACUUUUCAACGCGCUGGUAGUGUGUUCAGAUUUCGAUCACCCGAAGCAAGCGCAGAACCAUGUAAAUACGUGCACAAUCUCGGCAUGUUUUUUAAAUCUUGUGCGCCUGCUUCAGGUGAUAGAAAUCUGAACGCACUACCAUCGUUUUGAAAAGUGAAUGUAAUUAUACUUUCCUGUAAAUAUUCUCACAUUACUACCACCAAAAUGACCAUCUGCAUAGACAGACAACUGACCUCGUCAUGCUGAUCAGGGUGAAAUUCAAUGGUGAACGAAAAUAUGUGAAGAUCAUUGACCUGACACUUGAAAAUCUUUUGAUUGGAGUUUCAGAGGCAAAGCUGUGUGAUGGGCCUGGAACUGAAGUUGAUUAUAUUAAAUAUUAUAUUAUGAGGAGGUGGUGACACGGCCAGACCUUGGUGUUUUCAAGCUCACGCUGACCAAUGAUGCUAAAGAUGUCUCUGGCAGUACUGUGAUGGGUGGUUCAGACCAUGAGUCAGUUGAUACGAUCAUAUUGAGCGAGGAUGGAAGCCCCUCACGAAAGCGUCAAAGAUAUGAUGACAAAGCAAAACAUAGAGCAUACUGAAGAAAAAGCCUGGUGGAGAGGUUGUCAUCAAGGAAUACUCCAAAACUAAAAGCCUGACUGACUGCACCAGACGAAAGAUGAUCAACAUUCUUGUUUCGGCGAUGACGGCGACUCAUGGGACAUCACCACCGCAUGAGAGAAACAUUUGCACAAGGCAUCAUCUCCUUGUUCCUAUACCUGAGGGAUUCCUACACGACAAAUGGAUAUGAACAUUACUACGACCCUAAUAGUGGAGAAGGGUACCUCUCGUAUAGAAUCAAAACCAUUCAGAGGAAUUUGGCUUCAUCAGAGAAACGGCCCACUCAACUAUACUCUGGAGGGCCAACUGCUUAGAGGGAGUCCAGUCCAUCCACUUUGGCUACCCUGAGGGAAGACCAGUGCAGAGAGGCCAUUUAUCUUAUGAAGCAUUCUUCUGAUGAAGAGUCAAACAGAAGAUGAAAUUGACCUUUGAGUACAGGAAGAUGACCUACGACCAGAGUAAAUGCUCCACCAUCCUAACCGAAUUUCCACGCUUUCUUGAUGUGAAGGGUUUGAUAUUGAACAUGAUUUUGUGCUGCUGUUUGGAGAGGGAACAUCAGUCAAGUUUUUGGAGAGGUGGCCAUCUACAUUCAAGCAAAAUAUCAUCCUUCUAAGCAAGACCCUAAGCAAGGCAGAAUCUGCAGUUGAUGAUGGAGCUGAGGGAUGAGGGAGCUGACACGAAUGCUGAUGGUUACCGAAACACCACUUCAUGAUACAUUAUCCUCAUUGUAUGCGCAACGGGGCAAAACAUCAUUUCUUUAAAAAGCAACUGAAGAGUUUUAAGAAUUUCACUAUGACCUUAGCCAAGAAACAACAAAAUGACAUGGCAUAUAAUUGUGAAACGUUCAGCCAGAGUAGACUAGCUAUAGGUCCAGGAAAGAUGUCAAGGCUCAAUGACCUGAAUGAAAGCCAUGAGAUUGCUACCAAGUUGAAUGUCUCAGUGCACACAAAUGUUUUGUCAGUUAAAUGGGUUAAGCACCAUGGUACAGAAUAUCGUCUUGAUUUGGCCAUAUGUGGUGAAGUAGCCAUUGAAGUGCCAGUAUUUUACAAAAUGAAGGCUAUUGUUCUGAAAGAGGAAAAUUUUUAUUUGGUUAGGUCAGCUCUUGAAAUCUUAUGUUUUGUUGAUCAUUUGCAUGCAUUUGAAGUUGUUUUGAAGCCAAGUCCACCAUGCAAGGUAUUUCAUGUAAAUUACAUCAUGUACCACAAACCUUUUGAUUUGCUCAUGUCAAAUGGAGCAAGGGAUUUUUUUGACUACAUUGUCCCCACCUGUCACUUGAUAACAGUUUAAGCCAGGGCUGAUACUUAUGGUUAGGUUGUGAAAAACAUAUUUGUUUUUAAUGCAAACGUCAGCAUUUUCCAACAAACCUAUUGAUUUGCUCAUGUCAUAUGGAGCAAGGGAUUCUUUUGACUAGAUUCUACUCUCACUUGAUAACAGUUUCAGCCAGGGCUGGGACUUAUGGUUUGGUCAUAAUGAACAUAUUUGAAUCUUGAAACAGCUUUGAUUGAGUUUAUUGUGAAAUUCCCAGUGCCUUUAUAAAAUCUCAUUUCCAUUUACAUGGGAGAAGAGUAAAUACAUUAACACUGAAUAGAGUAAACACAUUUUUACUCUAAUAAUCGAAUAGUGUCACUAUAACACUUAAAGUGUUGAAUACCUCAGUGUUCAUUUUGAUCAACACCGGCCAGUGUAGUGCAGUGUUAACUUUUUGCACUCUGUGUUAACACUAGAAAUGUAACACUUUGAUCAGUGUACUUUCUACUCUGUGUAGAGUGAGACCAUAUGUACUCACUGACAGUGUUAAAUGUAACACUUAAAGUGUUGAUUUAACACUUUCAAAUGUACUGUGUAGGUAGACACCAACACCAUAAUAGGGAGGAGACGGCUGGUUCAUAAAUGUGACCUGAACAACAUUUGAAAACCGUACCCCUUCAAUACAAUGGUUUAAAAUACAUGGGGGGGUUCAUAGGUGCUCUGCUGUGAUAGGCUCAAAUAAAUGCUGUUUAGUGAUCACCAGAGAGGAGAAAGGAAGGAGGGAAGGCAGGAAGGAAGAUAUGAGAUGUAGAGGAGCUGACACUGACUGCUUUGCUUUCUGUUGUUUGCUGUUUCCCUGGUGACCAAGCCAUAUCUGAUGAUGUCAUGGCUGCGAGGGUGUGUGAGAGACGCUGAUAUCGUAAAUACUGUCCUUAACUAGGUCAUAAUAUAAGCUUCCUACACCCCACCCAGACCCCUCCCUCUUCAAGUACAGACUUAACAUACACUUCCCACCUUUUUAAAAUCCUAACUCCUCCUUACAGCUGUACAGGACCCCACCUCCAUCCCACCUCUACUAAUAUCUUCCCAGGACCCCACCAUAGUGCCCUCCGUAUGAACUGUGAGGCAGGAGCGAGGUCAGUGUAAAUGUUGCUGACUUGACAGAGAGCCAGGAGAAGCCAAACAGUCUUCAGAACUUUACCACAGUCAGAGAGAGCAUCAGGACAUGUUUCCGUUUUUCAGGAAUACAGUAUUUUCAAACUAGCUUGUUUACCAUUAAAGAAAUGAGGGGACUCCAUUCAGGUGUCUUUUUACCCAUGCUACAUUAGGUUAGUUCACACAAACAUUGCAUUCAACCACAGCUAGAGGGAAAUCAGUCAGACCGUUAUGCCUCGUGUUCCUAUGGUAAACAUGUUAAAGUGUGUAUAUUUUGGCUGAAAACAAGGUGUCGACGAGUGCAUAGUGUCAUUCCAUUCAGGGGUUACAUGGUUUUAGUGGGUAGGCUGUCAUUGUAAAUAAGAACGUUCUUGACCGACUUGCCUAGUUAAAAGGUGAAAUAAAAUAAAAUCCUUUAUUGUA